This 495-nucleotide ribosomal RNA is filed under the name uncultured bacterium. Its description in RNAcentral is "partial 16S ribosomal RNA". It matches the Rfam family "Bacterial small subunit ribosomal RNA", at positions 28 to 507 of the family's 1533-position model. The record is from RNAcentral.
GACGAACGCUGGCGGCGUGCCUAAUACAUGCAAGUAGAACGCUGAAGGGGGACCUUGUUCUUAUGGAUGAGUUGCGAACGGGUGAGUAACGCGUAGGUAACCUGCCUGGAAGCGGGGGAUAACUAUUGGAAACGAUAGCUAAUACCGCAUAAAAGUGGUUGUCGCAUGCAUUUUGCUUAAAAGGUGGAAUUGCUUUACGACCUGAUGGACUUGCGUUGUAUUAGCUUGUGGGUGGGGUAACGCCUCACCAAGUCGUCGAUACAUAGCCGACUCGCGAGGGGGAUCGGCCACACUGGGACUGAGACACGGCCCAGACGCCUACGGGAGGCAGCAGUAGGGGAUCUUCAGGAAGGGACGGAAGUCUGACCGAGCAACGCCGCGUGAGGGAAGAAGGUUUUCGGAUCGUAAAGCUCGGUUGUAAGAGGAGAACGAGUGUGAGAGUGGAAAGUUCACACUGUGACGGUAUCUUACCAGAAAGGGAGGGCUAACUACGUG